This 1436-nucleotide ribosomal RNA is filed under the name uncultured organism. RNAcentral describes it as "16S ribosomal RNA". It matches the Rfam family "Bacterial small subunit ribosomal RNA". The record is from RNAcentral.
CAGGCUUAACACAUGCAAGUCGAGGGGCAGCAUGGUCUUAGCUUGCUAAGGCCGAUGGCGACCGGCGCACGGGUGAGUAACACGUAUCCAACCUGCCGUCUACUCUUGGACAGCCUUCUGAAAGGAAGAUUAAUACAAGAUGGCAUCAUGAGUCCGCAUGUUCACAUGAUUAAAGGUAUUCCGGUAGACGAUGGGGAUGCGUUCCAUUAGAUAGUAGGCGGGGUAACGGCCCACCUAGUCUUCGAUGGAUAGGGGUUCUGAGAGGAAGGUCCCCCACAUUGGAACUGAGACACGGUCCAAACUCCUACGGGAGGCAGCAGUGAGGAAUAUUGGUCAAUGGGCGAGAGCCUGAACCAGCCAAGUAGCGUGAAGGAUGACUGCCCUAUGGGUUGUAAACUUCUUUUAUAAAGGAAUAAAGUCGGGUAUGGAUACCCGUUUGCAUGUACUUUAUGAAUAAGGAUCGGCUAACUCCGUGCCAGCAGCCGCGGUAAUACGGAGGAUCCGAGCGUUAUCCGGAUUUAUUGGGUUUAAAGGGAGCGUAGAUGGAUGUUUAAGUCAGUUGUGAAAGUUUGCGGCUCAACCGUAAAAUUGCAGUUGAUACUGGAUAUCUUGAGUGCAGUUGAGGCAGGCGGAAUUCGUGGUGUAGCGGUGAAAUGCUUAGAUAUCACGAAGAACUCCGAUUGCGAAGGCAGCCUGCUAAGCUGCAACUGACAUUGAGGCUCGAAAGUGUGGGUAUCAAACAGGAUUAGAUACCCUGGUAGUCCACACGGUAAACGAUGAAUACUCGCUGUUUGCGAUAUACUGCAAGCGGCCAAGCGAAAGCGUUAAGUAUUCCACCUGGGGAGUACGCCGGCAACGGUGAAACUCAAAGGAAUUGACGGGGGCCCGCACAAGCGGAGGAACAUGUGGUUUAAUUCGAUGAUACGCGAGGAACCUUACCCGGGCUUAAAUUGCAGAUGAAUUACGGUGAAAGCCGUAAGCCGCAAGGCAUCUGUGAAGGUGCUGCAUGGUUGUCGUCAGCUCGUGCCGUGAGGUGUCGGCUUAAGUGCCAUAACGAGCGCAACCCUUGUUGUCAGUUACUAACAGGUUCCGCUGAGGACUCUGACAAGACUGCCAUCGUAAGAUGUGAGGAAGGUGGGGAUGACGUCAAAUCAGCACGGCCCUUACGUCCGGGGCUACACACGUGUUACAAUGGGGGGUACAGAGGGCCGCUACCACGCGAGUGGAUGCCAAUCCCCAAAACCUCUCUCAGUUCGGACUGGAGUCUGCAACCCGACUCCACGAAGCUGGAUUCGCUAGUAAUCGCGCAUCAGCCACGGCGCGGUGAAUACGUUCCCGGGCCUUGUACACACCGCCCGUCAAGCCAUGGGAGCCGGGGGUACCUGAAGUGCGUAACCGCGAGGAGCGCCCUAGGGUAAAACUGGUGACUGGGGCUA